RNAcentral lists this ribosomal RNA (253 nucleotides) under uncultured bacterium. RNAcentral describes it as "partial 16S ribosomal RNA". It matches the Rfam family "Bacterial small subunit ribosomal RNA", at positions 524 to 776 of the family's 1533-position model. The record is from RNAcentral.
UACGUAGGGGGCAAGCGUUGUCCGGAUUUAUUGGGCGUAAAGAGCGUGUAGGCGGCCAUGUAGGUCCGUUGUGAGAACUCGAGGCUCAACCUCGAGACGCCGAUGGAAACCAUGUGGCUAGAGUCCGGAAGAGGAGAGUGGAAUUCCUGGUGUAGCGGUGAAAUGCGCAGAUAUCAGGAAGAACACCCGUGGCUAAGGCGGCUCUCUAGUACGGUACUGACGCUGAGACGCGAAAGCGUGGGGAGCGAACAGG